RNAcentral lists this ribosomal RNA (389 nucleotides) under uncultured bacterium. RNAcentral's name for it is "bacterial SSU rRNA". It matches the Rfam family "Bacterial small subunit ribosomal RNA", at positions 28 to 417 of the family's 1533-position model. The record is from RNAcentral.
GACGAACGCUGGCGGCGUGCUUAACACAUGCAAGUCGAGCGGUAAGGCCCUUUCGGGGUACGACGAGCGGCGAACGGGUGAGUAACACGUGGGUGACCUGCCCUCCAGCUCUGGGAGUAAGCCUGGGAAACCGGGUCUAAUACUGGAUAUGACUCCAUGACGCAUGUUGUGGGGUGGAAAGCCUUGUGCGGCUGAGGAUGGGCCCGCGGCCUAUCAGCUUGUUGGUGGGGUGAGGCCUACCAAGGCGACGACGGGUAGCCGGCCUGAGAGGGCGACCGGCCACACUGGGACUGAGACACGGCCCAGACUCCUACGGGAGGCAGCAGUGGGGAAUCUUGCGCAAUGGGCGAAAGCCUGACGCAGCGACGCCGCGUGAGGGAUGACGGCCU